Molecule: RNA transcript, 539 nt
Organism: Fragaria vesca subsp. vesca
Lineage: Eukaryota; Viridiplantae; Streptophyta; Magnoliopsida; Rosales; Rosaceae
Exons: 2
Source: RefSeq, a predicted model, not a curated record
CUCUCUCUCUCUCUCUCUCAUCGCCUCCCUCCUCUCUAUUUCUCUCUGUCUCUGACCAUGGGGAUCUUCCGUCUUUUCAAAUUCGCCGGCUCCCUCUUCGGCGGCCAUCCCAAACCGCCGGCGACAUUUCCGAAAGCAGUUUUCAAACCCUCGUAUGAUGUUCCUCGCCGUACCAUCGUCAUCGAAAUCAACCCUAUGUACAGAUCCGCCGAUGUCUCUUUCGUCAAACGAGAUUGCCUCAAGUUGUUCGGCAUUGACGAGUGUGGAGAAGUGAACAAGAAGGUUGAUGAGAAGCAGGAGGAGGAAGACAAAGCUGGAAAAUGAGUGCGUACGGGUAUGGGUUUUGGGGAUGAUUUUGGGUAUUAAUCAACUAAUGUAGCCCAGUUUAUGCUUAAGUAAUGGAUCAUAUAUGGCCUAGUAUGUUUGUUCUAAACUAUUAUAUAUCUAAUCUUUCUGGGGUUUUGAUGAAUGGAAGUUUUCGUUGUGUUGGAUAGAUUUGUUUGCUCCAUAUUCUUGUUUACUCGGAAACAGUUCCUGGU